AGUCCGGUCUCUGCUUUUGGAGCGCGUGGGCUCUGCGAGCGCCAGGGCUGGGGACCCUGGAAUACCUGUUCCUCCAGCACGAGGAUGGGGUCCAACUAGUGGUCCUCUAAAUCCUGCUCCUUCCCCGAGGCUACGGGAAGCGCUCCAGCCACAAGGAAACGGCUCCAGUCUUUCGGCUCCCAAACGUGACACUCUAUAUAUCCGGCUCGGAGACUGGGUGUGGGGCGGGAGGAAACCACCCUCCCUCCGACCUUCCCCGGCUCCGCCGCUGCCUCGGCACUGGGCGCGAAACCGGCGGCAGCCUCAGCCCGGGGCGGGAGGAGGGUGAGGGGCCAGCGAAGGCCCUACAGGUCGCGGGGGCGACAGCAUCGUGGGCAGGGCGGCCGCGCGCGCAGGCCCGCCCCGCGCUUCCAUUCGUUCAGCACCAGCGGAUCCACUGGCUAUGACUCCCGCAUUUGUGUGGUUUGGGGGAGGGGAGUUGGUUUUGGUUUCGGUGGGUUUGGUUUGUUUGUUUGUUUGGGGCUUUUGUUUUGUUUUGUUUUGGGUUUUGGGGUUGGUUUUUUUCUCCAUUUUUUAAUCAGUGGGCGAGGGGACAAGGAAGCUAGAAAGGCGCCCCUCUCUGGUGUGGGAAAGGAGAACUCCCACACCGUGAAAGGUGGCGGGGUAGGGGGGUGGAGGGAGAGACCGAGACAGGAGAGAGAUUCAAAGGUUCUAGUCUGAACUGAACGCUUGGGGGACAUACCUUUCCCCACCCACCCUAGCAGAAAAGGCAGCCAAAAAUCCCAGUUUACUCAGCUUGACUACACUGCACAUCCCGUGGGAGGGAUGCUCUUGUAUCUGCUAAAGACAUUGCGGAGGCGCCCUGCAGUGACCCACGAACGCAGUGGCUUUUUAAAACCCAAGGGCGUGAGGGUGGAGGGUGAUGCGAGGACUUCAGGUGAGGCUUCCUCACACUCGGGGUUUGAAGGGCAGAAAUCCGGCUCUGCCUGCCUAUGGUGGGGUGGGGGUGGGUAGGAGACUAGAAAGGAUCAGAGAUGGGGGCCGCAGAAACAGCAGUGAGCCAGCUGUGCUCAGCAGCACUUCUCCGGACUUAAAAGAAAAAAAGAUGUUUCAUUUCUUAGCCUGGUAGCUUUUUUGGGAUUUGGUCAUUGUUAAAUUUUAAACGGAAAAACAAGCUGCCAGGGAAGCCUUGUAGAGGGAUGGACAGGCACGUGAGUGGAGCCCUUGGCCUCAACCAGGAAGUGCUGAAAAACGGCCAACGCCCAUCCUAAUUCCCUGGACAAUGUAGGAGGUGUUUUGAACCUUCAACACAUUUAACAGACUUCCUAAAGUCAAACUUCAGCUUCAAAAAUUGUCUUUCCUAACCUCUAGCUUUUGGAUGCUACAGAGGGCUCUUGGAGUAUUCAAAAGAAAGGUAAACAGGAUUAUUUCACAUGUUUAGUUACAUGGGAUUGCCAAAAUAAUGUUUAAUCUUCUUCAGGUUAUAUUUCAGUGAAUAAUAUUAAUAUAUGUUCCAAAAUUGUAUGGGAUUUUAAAAAUUCUAAUGUCUGAAUAUAUGCUAUCAAUCAUAAUUAAGUUUAUUAUGUCAAGUUAUUGUAAACCACAGAAAUAACUACAUUUCUUUGUCAAUUGUGUUUUUGACUGUAACUACCCUGGAUAUUUUGUCAUUCACAGAUAAGUGUUGCCUUGCUUUAAUCCUUUUCAAAAGAUGGUUUAUAAUCAGCUAUAGGACUUUGACAGGUGCUGUUAAAUGUAGGUUUCUGAUAUCUCUGAAGAUUGUAAUAUUGGAACAAAGGAAAAAUGUACAGGACACCUGAAGAGUUGAAAUGUUCAUGGAUAUCAAACAGAAUAAAAGUUAACAGAAUGGACUGAACUAACAGAAAACUGAAGUAAUCUUUUUAACCUUUGUGCUUAAAUCCUUGCUGAUACUUGUUUUGUUUCUCAGAAUCAAGGAAACUUAUUUUGAGCUAUUUACAGUGUUUAAUAAUUGAGUAAAAUAUAUACCUGUGAACAAAAUUUCAAACAUAUUUGUUGCUCUCUGCCUGGCUUCUCCAGAAUUUGAAAACUAUUUGUGAGUAUUCUUAGCUUAUGGCAAUAUACUUAUUUGCAUUAGUGCAAUAAGAAUCCAUUUUCUUUUGCAACAGGACACAAUUGGAGAAACUGGAUGUUUUACCAAGGCUUUGGCUGGAAGGAUAUGCUUCCCUUUAAGGAAUCAAGUUUGACUUGCAGAGGCAAUAAAAGCCCCCUGGGAAAACUGGCCUCAUACUUUGUUUACACAGCCCCCAUACAGGGUUUCUAAACUGUGGUGAGUAAAGAAUGUCACUUUUUUUUUUUUUUUUUUUUGAGAUGGAGUCUUGCUCUGUUGCCCAGGCUGGAGUGCAGUGGCAUGAUCUCGGCUCACUGCAAACUCCACCUCCUGGGUUCACGCCAUUCUCCUGACUCAGCCUCCCAAGUAGCUGGGACUACAGGCACCCACCACCACACCCGGCUAAGUUUUUGUAUUUUUAGUAGAGACGGAGUUUCACCAUGUUAGCCAGGAUGGUCUCGGUCUCCUGACCUUGUGAUCUGCCCUCUGCAGCCUCCCAAAGUGCUGGGAUUACAGGUGUGAGCCAUUGCGCCUGGCCAAGUAUGUCACUUUCUAUCAGGCCCAGGAGCCCCAUGCUUUUGCCACCUUAAGAAGAGAGGAAUUUACCUAACUCAUAGGUAUUUGAGGGUACAAACCCAUUGUUAAGCUCAGCUUUAAAAGGUCUUAUCUGAAAUUCCUUGUGGAAGAGAGUUCCAUCAAAGCCAAUUUAAAAGUGUCAGGCCUCUGAGCCCAAGCUAAGCCAUCAUAUCCCCUGUGACCUGCACGUAUACAUCCAGAUGGCCUGAAGUAACUGAAGAAUCAGAAAAGAAGUAAUAUUUAAAUGGCCUGUUCCUGCCUUAACUGAUGACAUUCCACCACAAAAGAAGUGAAAAUGGCUGGUCCUUGCCUUAACUGAUGACAUUACCUUGUGAAAUUCCUUCUCCUGGCUCAUCCUGGCCUAAAAAGCUCCCUGACUGAGCACUUUGUGACCCCCACUCCUGCCUGCCAGAGAACAACCCCUCUUUUUCCUUUACCUACCCAAAUCUUAUAAAACAGCCCCACCCCUAUCUCCCUUUGCUGACUCUCUUUUUGGACUCAGCCUGCCUGCACCCAGGUGAAAUAAACAGCCUUGUUGCUCACACAAAGCCUGUUUGGUGGUCUCUUCACAUGGAUGCGAGUUAAAUUUUGGUGCUGUGACUCAGAUCAGGGGACCUCCCUUGGCAGAUCAAUCCCCUGUCCUCCUGCUCUUUGCUCCGUGAGAAAGAUCCACCUACAACCUCAGAUCCUCAGACUGACCUGCCCAAG
This 3370-nucleotide long non-coding RNA is filed under the name Homo sapiens (human). Its description in RNAcentral is "HSALNT0367386". Lineage: Eukaryota; Metazoa; Chordata; Mammalia; Primates; Hominidae. The record is from RNAcentral.